UACGUAGGGUGCUAGCGUUGUCCGGAAUUACUGGGUGUAAAGGGAGCGUAGGUGGGUGAGCAAGUCAUUGGUGAAAUUCUGAGGCUUAACCUCAGACCUGCCAAUGAUACUGUUCAUCUUGAGUACAGAAGAGGAAGAUGGAAUUCCUGGUGUAGCGGUGAAAUGCGUAGAUAUCAGGAAGAACACCGGUGGCGAAGGCGGUCUUCUGGUCUGUUACUGACACUGAUGCUCGAAAGCGUGGGGAGCAAACAGG
Molecule: ribosomal RNA, 253 nt
Filed under: uncultured bacterium
Lineage: Bacteria
Description: partial 16S ribosomal RNA
Rfam family: Bacterial small subunit ribosomal RNA
Source: RNAcentral